This 963-nucleotide long non-coding RNA is filed under the name Olea europaea subsp. europaea. The record is from RNAcentral. Lineage: Eukaryota; Viridiplantae; Streptophyta; Magnoliopsida; Lamiales; Oleaceae.
CUAUACUAGUGUUGUCACUCUCUUGUUGACCAUUGUACAAUAUUUGAAUUUUGAAUUCAAAUGAAUUGGCUCUAUAAUUACAAGACCUCUCCAUUAUCUCAUUCUUGAAUUUGGCAUAACAUUUGAGAGAGAGCAUAGAGAGGUAACCAAGUGGGAGCUUUCCAUAACUUCGAAGAAAUUCUUGGUGGCUUCUGGCGGAUCUUUUUUCGGUAUAUCCAUUGCCAUUCCCGUGGACGACGGUGCAUGAUUCGGUGUGACACAAAUCUGAACUCAACAUCAAAAAUAUUUCAUUUGUGGUAUUGAAGAAGCUUUAGGUCAUUAUUGGUUCGGUUUUAUACUUUGAGAGUUUAUUAUUCCGCAUUGUAGUUGUAAUAAUCUUUCAUAAACUACACUUUAAACUCUACAAAUUUUUUUUUUGGUUCAAUUUCUAUAUUUCCUUUGAGAAUGGUGCAAGUCGAACAUAUGCAAUUUGGCCUGGCUAUGUCUUUAACCAUUGAGUUUGUAUUUACAGGCAACAAUUGCAGAGAGUGGGAAUCAAACUGUAAAUAUACACAAAAAGAAGUUACUUGGUCAUUAGCAGACCAAAUUGUUGAAGAACUUCUUUUGUUGAGAUUGAAGUUUUGUAUUCCUUCCUUUUUGAUUGUUCUUCAGGAAUUUCUUGAAGUGCUUGGUGUUCAUGGCCAUAUGUUCAUCAGUUUCACUUUCUUCAUCGUCAACCUCUUCUUCAGUAUUUUUGACUUUAAAGGCAACUCAAUAUCUCUUUUCUUUCUUCCUUCUAUGGAGGUGCAAAUCAAAUGUCAUUAGUAAACUUACCAAUUCUUCUACCUUUAUGGUUUCAAUAUCUUUGCUUUCUUCUAUGGUAGUUACUUUGGAAUGAAAUUGAUCAAGUAGCUAGAGAUCUCAGGAUCUUCUUUACUAUCUUGUUUUCUGAUUACUCUUCCCGAAAGUAUAUGCUGAAUUGGU